UGAGGAAUAUUGGUCAAUGGGCUGAGGCCUGAACCAGCCAAGUCGCGUGAGGGAAGACGGUCCUAUGGAUUGUAAACCUCUUUUGUCGGGGAGCAACGACGUCACGAGUGACGGAAGUGAGAGUACCCGAAGAAAAAGCAUCGGCUAACUCCGUGCCAGCAGCCGCGGUAAUACGGAGGAUGCGAGCGUUAUCCGGAUUUAUUGGGUUUAAAGGGUGCGUAGGCGGACUGUUAAGUCAGCGGUAAAAAUUCGGGGCCCAACCCCGUCAUGCCGUUGAAACUGGCGGACUAGAGUGGGCGAGAAGUAUGCGGAAUGCGAGGUGUAGCGGUGAAAUGCAUAGAUAUCACGCAGAACUCCGAUUGCGAAGGCAGCAUACCGGCGCCCGCACUGACGCUGAGGCACGAAAGCGUGGGGAUCGAACAGGAUUAGAUACC
RNAcentral lists this ribosomal RNA (434 nucleotides) under uncultured bacterium. RNAcentral's name for it is "bacterial SSU rRNA". It matches the Rfam family "Bacterial small subunit ribosomal RNA", at positions 355 to 786 of the family's 1533-position model. The record is from RNAcentral.